Small nuclear RNA from Rhododendron vialii, 160 nucleotides. RefSeq annotates it as U1 spliceosomal RNA. The transcript has a single exon. The record is from RefSeq and is a predicted model, not a curated record. Lineage: Eukaryota; Viridiplantae; Streptophyta; Magnoliopsida; Ericales; Ericaceae.
AUACUUACCUGGACGGGUCAGUGAGCGAUCUAGAAGACGCAUGGCCUAGGUUAGUGAUCUCCAUUACACUUAGGAGGGGUGCUCGCCUAAGGUCUACCCAUGCGGUGGAGCCUGUAUCAUAAUUUGUAGUAGCGGGGGCCUGCGCUCGCGCGGUCCCUCC